This 1129-nucleotide ribosomal RNA is filed under the name human gut metagenome. Its description in RNAcentral is "bacterial LSU rRNA". It matches the Rfam family "Bacterial large subunit ribosomal RNA", at positions 1131 to 2292 of the family's 2925-position model. The record is from RNAcentral.
UGCGUAACAGCUCACUAGUCGAGCGGUUGUGCGUGGAUAAUAACCGGGCAUCAAGUGUAUUGCCGAAGCUAUGGACUCUACGGAGUGGUAGGGGAGCAUUCCAUCGACGUCGAAGCCGAUUCGUGAGGAUCGGUGGAGUUUAUGGAAAAGCAAAUGUAGGUAUAAGUAACGAUAAGGCGGGAGAGUAACCCGCCCACCGCAAGACCAAGGUUUCCUGAUCAACGUUAAUCGGAUCAGGGUCAGUCGGGGCCUAAGGGUAAGCCGCAUGGUGAUCUCGAUGGACAAUCGGUUAAUAUUCCGAUACUGAUAUGAACUGCGACGGAGGGACGGAGAAGCGUAAGCUACGCCAACAGACGGAAUUGUUGGUUAAAGGGUGUAGGUAUAUGAUUCGGUUAAUAGCUGAUUCAUGCUGAAACCUGACAGUACCGAGCGGCUACGGCCAAUCGGAUAGUUAGCCCAAGCAAGCUUCCGAGAAAAACUUCUAAGUUCAGGUAUAUGGUACCCGUACCGUAAACCGACACAGGUGGUCGAGGAGAGUAUCCUCAGGUGCUUGAGUGAAUCACGGAUAAGGAACUAGGCAAAUUGACCCCGUAACUUCGGGAAAAGGGGUCCCUACGCAAGUAGGGCGCAGCGAAGAGGUCCAGGCAACUGUUUAACAAAAACAUAUGGCUCUGCUAAUUCGAGAGAAGAAGUAUAGGGCCUGACACCUGCCCGGUGCUGGAAGGUUAAGAGGGGAUGUCAGCGCAAGCGAAGCAUUGAAUCGAAGCCCCAGUAAACGGCGGCCGUAACUAUAACGGUCCUAAGGUAGCGAAAUUCCUUGUCGGGUAAGUUCCGACCUGCACGAAUGGUGUAAUGAUCUGGACACUGUCUCGUCCGUGAGCUCAGUGAAAUUGUAGUCCCGGUGAAGAUGCCGGGUACCCGCAACGGGACGAAAAGACCCCGUGAACCUUUACUGCAGCUUAACGCUGAAUUUGGGUGCAUAAUGUGUAGGAUAGGCAGGAGACUGCGAAGCGGUGCCGCCAGGUAUCGUGGAGUCAACGUUGAAAUACUGCCCUUUGUGUAUUUGAAUUCUAACCCCGCAAGGGAGACACCGUUUGGUGGGUAGUUUGACUGGGGUGGUCGCCUCCAA